This 420-nucleotide ribosomal RNA is filed under the name uncultured bacterium. RNAcentral describes it as "bacterial SSU rRNA". It matches the Rfam family "Bacterial small subunit ribosomal RNA", at positions 355 to 774 of the family's 1533-position model. The record is from RNAcentral.
UAAGGAAUAUUGCUCAAUGGGAGAAAUCCUGAAGCAGCAACGCCGCGUGGAGGAUGAAGGGUCUAUGACUUGUAAACUCCUGUAAAGAAGGAAAAAAUUCCCAUUUGAUGGGAGAUGAUGGUACUUCUGGAGUAAGCCCCGGCUAACUACGUGCCAGCAGCCGCGGUAAUACGUAGGGGGCAAGCGUUGUCCGGAUUUACUGGGGGUAAAGGGUGCUCAGGCGGAUUUGUAAGUCAGAGGUGAAAUCUUACAGCUUAACUGUGAAACUGCCUUUGAUACUGCAAGCCUAGAGUAUGGAAGAGGGUGAUGGAAUAUCUGGUGUAGCAGUGAAAUGCGUAGAUAUCAGAUAGAACACCAAUGGCGAAGGCAGUCACUUGGUCCAUUACUGACGCUAAAGCACGAAAGCGUGGGUAGCAAACA